AUGGCACUACCGAUCCCGUUCCCCAGUCCGCCGCCGGCCACCACGAAACGACGCGGCACUGUGCCCAGGGUCAGCACGUGCUGCUUCAACGACCCAGAGAUGAAGCGGCGGCGGCGGGUGGCGGGGUACAAGGCGUACGCGGUGAAGGGGAAGGUGAAGGCCUCGCUCCGCCGGGGGCUCCGGUGGUUCAAGCGCAAGUGCUCCGGCAUCUUCCAUUUCUGA
RNAcentral lists this ribosomal RNA (222 nucleotides) under Triticum aestivum (bread wheat). Its description in RNAcentral is "partial small subunit ribosomal RNA". The record is from RNAcentral. Lineage: Eukaryota; Viridiplantae; Streptophyta; Magnoliopsida; Poales; Poaceae.